This 277-nucleotide ribosomal RNA is filed under the name uncultured eukaryote. RNAcentral's name for it is "partial 18S ribosomal RNA". It matches the Rfam family "Eukaryotic small subunit ribosomal RNA", at positions 21 to 306 of the family's 1831-position model. The record is from RNAcentral.
UAGUCAUAUGCUUGUCUCAAAGAUUAAGCCAUGCAUGUCUCAGUGUAAACUUAUAAACAGUGAAACUGCGAAUGGCUCAUUAGAACAGUUAUAGUUUAUUUGAUGUUCAUUGCUACAUGGAUAACCGUGGGAAUUCUAGGGCUAAUACAUGCGUAAAUACCCGACCUCUGGAAGGGUAGUGUUUAUUAGAUUUAAGCCAUCACCAUGCUCGCAUGGACCAGUUGGAAUGAUAAUAACCGAUCGAAUCGCUCUUCGGCGCGAUAAAUCAUUCAAGUUU